CAGCAGCCGCCGCGGGAAUACGUAGGUGGCAAGCGUUGUCCGGAAUUAUUGGGCGCAAAGGGCUCGCAGGCGGUUUCUUAAGUCUGAUGUGAAAGCCCCCGGCUCAACCGGGAAGGGUCAUUGGAAACUGGGAAACUUGAGUGCAGAAGGGGAGAGUGGAAUUCCACGUGUAGCGGUGAAAUGCGUAGAGAUGUGGAGGAACACCAGUGGCGAAGGCGACUCUCUGGUCUGUAACUGACGCUGAGGAGCGAAAGCGUGGGGAGCGAACAGGAUUAGAUACCCCCGUAGUCCCUGUCUCUUAUAC
RNAcentral lists this ribosomal RNA (304 nucleotides) under uncultured bacterium. RNAcentral's name for it is "partial 16S ribosomal RNA". It matches the Rfam family "Bacterial small subunit ribosomal RNA", at positions 506 to 807 of the family's 1533-position model. The record is from RNAcentral.